AGAGUUUGAUCAUGGCUCAGGACGAACGCUGGCGGCGUGCUCUAAUACAUGCAAGUAGAACGCUGAAGACUGGUGCUUGCACUAGUCAGAUGAGUUGCGAACGGGUGAGUAACGCGUAGGUAACCUACCUCAUAGCGGGGGAUAACUAUUGGAAACGAUAGCUAAUACCGCAUGACAAUUAAGUACUCAUGUACUAAAUUUAAAAGGAGCAAUUGCUUCACUAUGAGAUGGACCUGCGUUGUAUUAGCUAGUUGGUGAGGUAACGGCUCACCAAGGCCACGAUACAUAGCCGACCUGAGAGGGUGAUCGGCCACACUGGGACUGAGACACGGCCCAGACUCCUACGGGAGGCAGCAGUAGGGAAUCUUCGGCAAUGGGGGCAACCCUGACCGAGCAACGCCGCGUGAGUGAAGAAGGUUUUCGGAUCGUAAAGCUCUGUUGUUAGAGAAGAACGGUAAUGGGAGUGGAAAAUCCAUUACGUGACGGUAACUAACCAGAAAGGGACGGCUAACUACGUGCCAGCAGCCGCGGUAAUACGUAGGUCUCGAGCGUUGUCCGGAUUUAUUGGGCGUAAAGCGAGCGCAGGCGGUUAUUUAAGUCUGAAGUUAAAGGCCGUGGCUCAACCAUGGUUCGCUUUGGAAACUGGAUAACUUGAGUGCAGAAGGGGAGAGUGGAAUUCCAUGUGUAGCGGUGAAAUGCGUAGAUAUAUGGAGGAACACCGGUGGCGAAAGCGGCUCUCUGGUCUGUAACUGACGCUGAGGCUCGAAAGCGUGGGGAGCAAACAGGAUUAGAUACCCUGGUAGUCCACGCCGUAAACGAUGAGUGCUAGGUGUUAGGCCCUUUCCGGGGCUUAGUGCCGCAGCU
RNAcentral lists this ribosomal RNA (864 nucleotides) under uncultured bacterium. Its description in RNAcentral is "bacterial SSU rRNA". It matches the Rfam family "Bacterial small subunit ribosomal RNA", at positions 8 to 853 of the family's 1533-position model. The record is from RNAcentral.